AUGUUUGUGGUUUGGGGCGUACGAUCGAGAACAGAGGCCAAGGAAGAGCCAAAACCCUAACAUCCUAAAAUCAGCAGAUUGAGAAGGAAAUUAAAGGCUAAUCGAUUGCAUGUGACCAAUUUCUCAGUUAUCUAAGGGUUCUCCAUCAUAGGGUAAGUCGAAUUUUGUGAAUUGAUAUUAGGGGAUGAUAAUGGUUUUGAUUAAUCCAUGAGAUAGUAUGAAAUUGAACUUGUUUGUGAGUUAGAAUCACCAAAUAAAGGAUGUUUCAUGAAUAAUACUGAUUUGUUUGAAGGUUUGAAUAAAAACCCAUUUGGUUUAGUUGAAUAAGUGAACUUGUAGUGAAUUAACCAAGAGAUUUGGAUGGGUGAAUGCUAUGUGCAAAAAUACUAAUAGAUUAGUAUGUUGUAGAAUGAAUGAACUAUGUGCAUUUAGUCGAUUUAGUGAGUUAUGAGAUUACUAGUAAAAUUAUGCAUUGAAUACUUGUACAUAGUGCUUACAAUGUUAUACGCACGCCAAGUGUUCGAUUAAAUGCUUGAGUAGUUGAUUUAUGUAAUUUUGAAUGAAUAGGAAGUCUUGCGUUGUAUGUGGAAAUUAUGAAAGUUAUCUCCUGUGAAAAGUGUUAUGGAAUGCAUACUAUAUGUGAAUGCAAGAGUUAUGUAAGUGAAUGGUAUAGUCUAUAAACGGGAACGGAUCACGUAGAGAAUUGAAGUUAAAAGGUAAAAGUUUGUAUGUAGGAAACUAUUGCGUUAUGAACUCGUUAGUUGAUGUGUUAUGUACGGUAGUAGUAAAAUGUGAUGAUACAUAUCCCUUAUAUGCGUUAAUAAGCUAACGAAAGUUAAACAUUGUAUGAUUUGAAAGCCGAAUGAACGAAUGAUUGCAAGCUAACCGUGUUAUAAAUAUGAUGACAAGUAUGGAUAGGAGUCAUGUCAAUAGGGGCACAAAUAUGGAAGCGCUACGAGUUGAAGGCAAACACGGAAGCUACUUGUAAAUUCGGACGCACAGUGUAAGUAAACUCCCCGACUCUCUCCUUAGUAUUAAAUAGAGGUAAAUUGUAUGACAAAUGUCAGGAAAUGCUUUAUUGUCUCUGGAAGAAGUAAGAAGUUCUAAGGAAGUGAUUUUCGAAUCUCUUCCUAGACCAUUUUAGGAGGGCCUUAUGCUAGACACUUAAGUAUGGUAAUCUAAGUCUACUUGGGAUUUGGUUAUUGGGUAAAGGUGUUUGUUAAGUACCGAAUGGGUCAAAUAAGGGUAUGUUUCAUUAUGAAGCACUUGUACACAUAAUGUCGAGGGUAAUAUUUUAUUCAGAUAAUGUAAAAGUGUGAUAGUAUUAACGUUAUGUAGGUUUUAAAUUGGGUCAAAUAAGGGUAUGUUUCAUUAUGAAGCACUUGUACACAUAAUGUCGAGGGUAAUAUUUUAUUCAGAUAAUGUAAAAGUGUGAUAGUAUUAACGUUAUGUAGGUUUUAAAUGUACAUAUGUGAGAUGCUUGUCAAAGUCACGAAUGGGUCGAAUAAAUGUGCAUAAGUAACGUAUUGUUAAAUAAUUCGGAUAUAUAUGAAACCCCGGGGCAGGGAUUUUAAUUAGUUAUGUAAGGAAUGACUUUAUGAAUGAUUAGAUUUAAGUAUCAAGUGAUUCGGAUGCCAAACGAAUGAGUUAAGGGAGUUUUAAGGCUCAAAAAGGAAUGCAGGUCUGGCACCACCGUAAGUUACGGUGCCCACCGUAGCUUACGGUGGGUGUUGGCCUUUUCUUUUCUGUCGUAAGGCAGUAUAUAGUUACCGUAAGCCUUUUUGAGACUACCUUAAGUUACGGUAGUCACCGUAACUUACGGUAGAGCCCUGGCGCCCCGCGUAGGAAGUAGACAUGGCUGUCGCGACCCGCGACAAACCAUGCAGAUGGUACAUUAUUUGUGUUUGUUUGUUUUGUACGUGGAAUUAGUUGUAAAUGCUAUCCAGGGCCCCUUAAUUAAUGUUUAUGCUAGUUUUACAUGAAGUAAUGGUUACGGACCUCCGAUCCUCCACAAGGUACUCUAAUCCAUUUGAGACGUGUUUAGGAAACAUGAUCACGAUUAUGAUGAGUGAGUAAGAAUGUAAAGGAAUGGACCAAGUUUGGGGUUAUUUAUAUAUAUUCAUAUAUAUGUGCAUUUAUGCAUAUGAAAUAAAUUAUCAUCCAGUAGUUGGAACUCAUAGGUGUUUAUGACUAGAAGUAAGUAUACAUGUUAGGUCGUGUGUUCAUGGCCUACCUGUAUGGAACUCGUAAUUUGCAUACCUUAACAAGCUUAGUGGUAAUUUUAGUAUUAUAAGAAGUUGUAAGUUUGUACGGGGAUAUGUAAAUCAUGUGUGGAGGUUCAUGUCUUUGUAUACAUAUGUGUUCAUGCCUGUGUUUGUAGUAGGAUUCAUUACUUAUGAGUGAAGGGAAUUCGUGUAUCCUAUUAAUGUCGUUCUAAGGAUGAAGAAUCUGGAAUGCACGAAUGUACACAGAAAGCAUAUUCGUGAGGAUUAGAUUGGGAAGAAAGAACGCGGACUGGUUAUGGGUUACUUAUGUCUAGUUUAGGAAUGAUGUUAUUAAAUCUAACUGAUGCUCAUGUAUGUGGUGAAUGCAGGUGACGUAGACUUAGCUUCAUUAUGAAGAAAACUGGGAUUGAAGAUCGAGUUAAGAGUGAGGGUUGUACGGGAAGGGAUCGGUCACAUAGUUUGACAAUUAUAAGUCUUGAAGCAUUAAAAAAUGGAUCGUGGUAAAUCCUUUUCAAUGAAUGUAUGAAAUUUUGUAGUUGAACCUUCAUGUAAGUAUUAUGUCUAGUAAAGAAAGAAAUUUUUGG
This 2809-nucleotide long non-coding RNA is filed under the name Helianthus annuus (common sunflower). RNAcentral's name for it is "hypothetical non coding rna". The record is from RNAcentral. Lineage: Eukaryota; Viridiplantae; Streptophyta; Magnoliopsida; Asterales; Asteraceae.